This is a long non-coding RNA of Brassica napus (rape), 1335 nucleotides long. RefSeq lists it as uncharacterized. Lineage: Eukaryota; Viridiplantae; Streptophyta; Magnoliopsida; Brassicales; Brassicaceae. The transcript has 2 exons. The record is from RefSeq and is a predicted model, not a curated record.
GAAACGCUAUAAUUGAGUGGUAUAUUUGGAAACUCUAUGAUAGCGCGUAAUUUUAUAUGUAACACUUAUGUUUAAUAGCAGGAUAUAAUUAAAACGUCAUGUUUGGCUUUUGAAUCCCUAAACCCUAAACAAAUUUUUAAACUCUAAACACAAAUUUUAAAUUUUAAACUUUAAUACACUAAUAAACUUUAUAAUAUUUUUAAACUUAAACUUCAAAUCUUAAAUAUUAAAAUAUAAACUUAAAUAUUUUCAUAACUUAAUCUCAAACUAUAUACCUAUUUCAAAAGUUUAACCAUAUAAACCCUAAACCACAUACUUUAACAUAUAGCAUAAGAACAUUAAACCUCAAACUUUAUAAAAUAUAAUUUCUAUAAUAUAAUUAUCAAACUAUGUAUAAUAUUUCAAAUUUACAUUAUACAAUUCAAAAAUAAAAAUAAACCAUUAAAUAAUAAACAACACAAAAAGAUGAUUAUAGAUAAAUGAACAUAUAAUUAUUAUUAGUUUUAUUGGGCCUUUGAUUAGUUUGGAUCCAAAGACUCAAAAUCACUCUUUUGUGAUCUUCGUCCUUCUUUCUUAUUGGCCAAUUUUUCAAAAUUUGGAUUAAUAUAUCUGACCAUUGAUUAUUUGUAAUCCAAUGGCCAAGAAUUCAUCUUUUCAUUUCCCUUGUUCUAGACUCCAUCGAUCUCUUCCUUAGUAUUAUUCUCCUCAUCUCCCUCGCUGUCUCAAACACACACACACGAUUCACGUAGCAAACAUCUCCUUUUUCUGUAUCACUCUCUUCACACACACACGAUUCAUGUAACAUACAUUUCAUUUCUCUGUAACACUCUCUUCACACACACACACACACGAAUCUGAAGGUGGAGCCAAACCCAGCGACCGCGGAUCUGAAGAUGUUGGACCACCGCCAUCUCUCCCUUUCACCACCGUCUCUCUCACCACCACCGAUGUGGUGGUCAUUGGGUUUGCGGCUAGGAGGCGAUGGAGAAGAUGGUGGUCGUGAGCACAGGUGGUGGCCAUCGGGCUUGCGGCAAGGAGGCGACAGAGAAGCUGGUGGUCGGAGCAGAGUGGUGGUCAUGGGGCUUGCAGCGAGGAGGCGAUGGAGAAGUUGGUGGCCGUGAGAAGAGGUGGUGGUCAUGGGGCUUGCGGCGAGGAACGAAGAAGUUGGUGAGGAGGCUGGCCCAAGAAGAUUAGGUUUUGAUUAGGUUUAAUUAAGAUUAGGUUAGAUUAGAUUUAAUUUUUAAAACAUCUGGUUUAGUGUUAAGUGUAAACCGAUUCUUAUCUUUUUUCAAAUGUAAUUUCUAAUGUUUAAUAAAAAAUAAUUUGUUAUCUUUU